UUAUCAGGACGGACACGUUAUCGCUGCUCAGCACCCCAGCUCCCUCUCCCUGAGCAAACAGUGGGGGUGGCAGGGGAAUGUCACAACCCUACUGGCUGAGCGCUCAUUCCUGCUGGGACUCAACGGGUCCACAAGCUCCGUGGAGGGGGUAGCCAUGCUGCAAGACUUGCCAAGACUCUUCUGUUGGCACCUUGAUGUCCCAGCAAGGCCCCACAGGAGCCACGGCUUGUUCACUGCAGGAAGGCGCCUGAACAAGCUACUGCGUACUGAUUCACAGCAGUGCUUUGGUGAACUUCAAAUUAAGUAGAGAAAGAUAACUGUGAAGAAACACGUGUGGGAUUUUAAUUCCUUAGACUUGCACGGUAGCCGUGGAAACAACAGGACUUCAACAAGUUCACAAAUGAGUGCUGCUCCCCCUGAGCAAAGAGGUCCACAACUGCUCACCAGCCUGUCUUCUUCAAGUAACAGCCCAGAUGAGUCAUAGCAAAGAUUGCAG
Molecule: long non-coding RNA, 496 nt
Organism: Gallus gallus (chicken)
Lineage: Eukaryota; Metazoa; Chordata; Aves; Galliformes; Phasianidae
Source: Ensembl